GUAGAACAAAACCCAAUAAUGUUUUUCCUCAUCUCUAGGGUGUCCCAUACAUGAAAAUGAUUCUUGGCCAAAGUGAUUUUAAUGCUAAGCCUAAACAUUUUACACAUUUUCAUAUGCACCUCCAAACAAAAAAAGCACCCAAAAUGUGACUUCUCUUGGGUUUUGUUCUACCUCCGGUUGGGGUGUCUCCAAAUUUUGAGGCCAUUGUCACUGGCCUACUUCUGUAUCAUAACAAAGCCUGUCACUUCCACGUUUCGUUCUUUAUGUGACCGAAGUCACUGGCUACUGCACCAGAGAGGGUCUCUGCACUCAUUGCUGGUCCUAUAAUGCCAUCUAUUGGCGAAAACGUGCAACAGCAUAAUUAAACUAAAAGACAACUUCUGACAGGACAACAAAAAGACAGGGAGUGAGAAUAAGGGAAUAACAAAAAGCCGAAAAUGGGGGGUCCACUACACUUGCAUACCUGAUUGUGAUGCUGUCACUCAUUUUCUAGUCUAUAUCUUGGACUGAAAAAGGAUUACAUUAUUAUGUUUUCAGGUGUUUUGCCCCUGCGGUUGUGAAGAGGAUGCUGUGGAGGUGGCAGCAUGAACGUGUCACACAGACAUUGGCUAAACUACUCGGCUUCUACACUUGCCCUCAGAGUUCACAUAUGGUGAAGUGCACAGGUGUCCAGUCAGGUUCAGACUGAUGCUGGUAACAAGAGGAAAACAUGCUAAUUGAUGACCUUUCCAGCAUGUCCAACUCAUCAGCAUCAGGGGAGGAGAGUCGGUGAAGGUGGUGCACCAUCCAGGACCAGUCAUGGGCCACCAACACCUCUGCAAAAUCUGCACUUCUUGUGAACCCUCUAGAAGACACUACAACCACAAAACUGCUAAUAAACCAUCACAUACUACAUCA
Long non-coding RNA from Engraulis encrasicolus (European anchovy), 897 nucleotides. RefSeq lists it as uncharacterized. The transcript has 3 exons. NCBI's taxonomy places the organism in Eukaryota, Metazoa, Chordata, Actinopteri, Clupeiformes, Engraulidae. The record is from RefSeq and is a predicted model, not a curated record.